GUGCAAAGGUAGCAUAAUCAUUAGGUUUUUAAUUGGGAUCUUGUAUGAAUGAUUGGACAAGAGAAGUACUGUCUUUGUAUUGAAACUUGAAUUUAACUUUUAAGUGAAAAGGCUUAAAUAUACUAGAGGGACGAUAAGACCCUAUAAAACUUUACAUUUAUAUUAAAUUUUAUGGAAUUUGAAGAUUAUAAUUAUUAAAUUUAAUUUUUUGUUAUGUUGGGGAGACAAAAGCUAUAAUUAUGUAUAACUGCUUUUUAAGGAAAACAAAAAUAAAUGGAGAAAUUAAAGAUCCUUUAUUGAGAUUGUAAGAUUAAGUUACUUUAGGGAUAACAGCGUUAUUUUUUUUGAGAGUUCAUAUUGAAAAAAGAGAUUGCGACCUCGAUGUUGAAUUAAAAUAUCUUU
This 402-nucleotide ribosomal RNA is filed under the name Potamonautes perlatus. RNAcentral's name for it is "partial 16S ribosomal RNA". Lineage: Eukaryota; Metazoa; Arthropoda; Malacostraca; Decapoda; Potamonautidae. The record is from RNAcentral.